GAGGGUGGCGGGCUUGAGGCGGGCAGGCUGCUUAGUUGCGGCCCGAGGCGCCUAAGUGGGGAUGACCAACCCGUGGGCGUUGGCGCUGACCCCUAGGCGCCGCUGGUGGCCCCGCGCGCGGCCCUCCGGCCAGCCCCGCCCCUCUCGGGGCUCCUCCUUGGUCCCCGCGCCAUGGCGCGUCCGCGUUGACCGCUGUCUUCCCUUUCGGGCUGUGCUGAUCGCGAACGCUGCGCAGUCCGUGGUGGCGUCGAGGCACCUUUCUCGUGCCUUUACCUGUGUUCACUCCUUUGCUUUAAAAAACAGCCCUAGAAGUACACAUCGUUGGCCCCGAAGGAGCCCCAGCAGCCAUGUCGGACCGCGAGGUGACCUUGGAGGGCGGGAGGACGGACGAGGGGCCUGGCGGAGCUAGACUGAGAGGGCGCCGCCGGCGUCCUGAAGGCCCUGCUCCCCGAAUGUGUGGGAGUGUGUCUGACGGUGCGAGGGUGGCUGUGGCGGGGCCUGAGCAGCGUGUCCGUGUCCCGAUGCCGCCCGCCUGUUACUGAGUUAGGCAGGAGUGCCCGAGUCUGGCGAACUUCAGCAGUUCUCGUUCCAGAGCUCCACACGAGGUUGGCCAAAGCUUUGCGGGACUUACAUACCCUUCUUCCUCCGCCCAGUCCUGCUUCCUUCCCCUUCCUUUCACGGGUGUUGAUACCAUGUCAACAUCCUCGUACCCCAAACUCAGUCGCAGCGUCUGCUUCUGGAGAAACCAUUCUGCAGCAUUAAAGCUGGUGAGAAGAUGGGAUUCGAGGCUGCAUCACUCACCAGUGGUGAAGUAGGAGGGUGAACUAGUGAAAUGGAAUCCACGAGUGGGUGAAGUAUCAGACAUUUCAUAUAUGGUGAACGUAGUAGAUAAAAGGAAGGAAAGGGGGAUUGGAUAGCUAUUGCUUAGUGCCAACCGAGACUCUUAAGAAUAGUGGUCAGCUGAAGGCAAGCAACAAACAGUUGUAAGCCAGUGAAUCUGUCCCGUUACAUAUAGAGAAGCUUCAUUUACUGCAGCAGGUCAAAGACAAGAACCAGGCCCAGGAAUUAACAUCCCUGUUUGACUGAACUCCAAAAAUAGCAAAACACCCAAACAAGGCAAUACUCUUCCACUAAGUUUGGAUCCCUGCUAAGAAAAGAUGAGGCUGGGCACAGUGGCUCACACCUGUAAUCCCAGCACUUUGGGAGGCCAAGGCGGGAAGAUUGCUUGAGUUCAGGAGUUCAAGACCAGCUUGGGCAACAUGACAAAACCCCAUCUCUACUGAAAACACAAAAAAUUAGCCGGGCAUGGUGGCCACGGCUGUGGUCCCAGCUGCUUGGGAGGCUAAGGUGGGUGGAUCACCUGAGCCCUGGAAGUCAGGGCUGUAGUGAGCUGUGACUGCACUCCAGCCUGGGCAACAGGAGUGAGACUCUGUCUUUUAAAAAAAAAAAAGAAAGAAAAGAAAAGCCCGUCAUACAUGGGUUGGAGAUACCUGGGUAGAUGCCUUCAAAGGUUUUGACUCCCCAAACUGCCUUAAACCUUUUUUUCGUAGACAGUGUCUCACUCUGUUGCCCAGGCUGGAGUGCAGUUGCUGGAUCAUGGCCCACUGUAGCCUCAACUUCCUGGGCUCAAACGAUCCUCCCACCUGAGCCUCCUAAGUAACUGGGACUACAGGUAUGUGUCACCACACCUGGAUACAUUUUUUAUUACUUGUAGAGGCAAGGUCUUGCUAUGUUGCCCGGGCUUGUCUCAAACUUCUAGGCUCCAGUGAGCCAUCACACCUGGCCUGCCUUGAACCUGAAGCCUGCCGGGGUGGCUCACCUCUCCUAUUAACCUGACACUACUCCUCCUCCCUCCACUUACUGCUCAGUAGAUGUAUAAUUAUGGUUGUUUCUUUUGCAUUAUUCAGCUGGAAACAAUGAGAUAGAAAAGAGAAUAUAGCUCCCUCCCCCUCAGAAGAACUGCGUUAUUAGUUUGCUGGGGCUUCAGUAACAAACUGGGCAGACAUUUAUUGUCUCCCAGUUCUGGAGGCUAGAAGUCUGAGAUCAAAGUUUUCACAGGGUUGGUUCCUUCUGGGGCUGGGAGGGAGAAUCUGUCUCAUGCCUCUCUCCCAGCUUCUGGUGGUUUGCUGGCAGUCUUUGGUUCCUUGGCUUAUAGAGGCAUUGUCCCAGUCCUGCCUUUAUAUUCACAUGGUGAUCUUGUUGUGUGUGUCUCUCCAGACGAAGGCAUAAGUAACAUCAUUGACAAAGGUCAUUCGACAUGGGCCUCUUUUUAGAAGGACACCAGUCAUACUGAUUAGGGCCCACUCUAAUGAGCGCAUCUUAACUUGUCUACAAAGACCCAUUUCCAAAUAAUGUCACAUUCACAUUGACCAGGGGUUAGGGCUUCAGCAUCUUUUGAGAGGGACACACUUCAGCCCAUAACAAGCUGUACCACCCAGCCAACAUGUACUGACAGGAGCUGGGAAAGUUUGGGGCUGGAUUAUGAGGGUGCUUGAUGAAGGGAGCUGGAAUGUAAACUUGCAUAGAUGUGUUUAUUGAAAUACGUGAUUUAACACCUUGGCAAAGAGUGGCUGCAGACUUCCUGCAAGGAUGGCUCCUAGAAUGGCGGUAUAGCUACUGCUGCCUAACAAAUUACUCCACACUUCGUGGCUUAAAACAAGAAUCAUUUCUUAUCUCUAGGUUACUGUGGGUCAGACAUAGUGGGGAUCGGUGAUCUCUCUAGGUUACUGUGGGUCAGACAUAGUGGGGAUUGGUUAUCUCUCUUCCACAGUGUCUGAGGCCUCAGCUGGAGCAGUUCAGAGGCUAGAGGUUGGAAUGAGUGAAGGUUCAUCUGCUCGAAUGUCUGACAGCUGAUACUGGAGAUUGGCUGCAGCCCAGAUUGGGGAUGUCAGCCAGCACACCCCUACACGGCCGGUCCCUGUGGCCGAGGCUUUCUCACAAUAUGAUGGCUGGAUUCCAAGGGCAAUCUAAAGACAAAGGACAAAAGAAAGCUGUAUCCUUUUUGUGAACCAGCCUCAGAAGUUGCAUACCAUCACUUCGGCUACUUCCUAUUUGGAAGAAAUGAGUCACUAAAUUACCCAUAUUCAAAAGGAGAGGAAUUAGGCUUCAUCUUCUAAAGGGAAGAAUAUCAAAAAAUUUGCCAGUAUAUUUUUAAAACACCACACUUGGAAAAAGCCAUGGGCCAUGGUAAGCAAAAUUGAAAUGGCAAAAUUGCUAUGGCAGACAGUGGUGGAAGGGAGUAAAAGGUUCAGGGGUGUGGGCAUGUUGAAAUUUAUAUACUCCGUGCAUCUAGAAGACAUUUGAGACGAUCAUAUUCCACAUGAAGGUGUAAAUAACACGUCAUUUAUAAAGAUCAUUAGACAUAGGAUGAUGAAAGGGGCACUGAUGUCACUAAAAUAUUCAGUGAUGGCUCAUCUCUGUAGGCAAGAAUGACAAUAGAAAGGCUGUUCCAGAACUUGGCUGGGUGAUAGCACUGGGGAUGAUAGGAUCCUAAGACAAAAGAGGCCAUUCUGGGACAUAGUGGGGACCAAAGAAAAAAACCCAAGAAGCCAAAGGCAACACUUAGCUGGCAGAAGUCAGAGGAUUGCAAUUAUAGCAGCCAGCAGGGUCUGAGUGGCAGCCAAGGGGACCUCACUUGUAUGGUUAUAGAACUGGUCAAUAAACAUGGCAUCCCUGGAGGCAAAACAGGUGGGCAGCUAAGAAGGGUACUACUCAGCUGGCAAAAAAAAAAAAAAAAAAAAAAAUCCAUCCAGGCACGGUGGCCUGUGCCUGUAAUCUCAGCAUUUGGGGAAGCUAAGGUGGGAGGAUCACUUGAGCCCAGGAGUUCAAGAUUACAGUGAGCUGUGGUUGCACCACUGCACUCCAGCCCGGGCAAUGUGGCAAGACUGUCUCAAUUGAAAAAAAUAAAUAAAGAUGCUUGUCCCAGUUUUAAAAAAUCAGGAUUCCAUGCCCAGCUUCUGGAACUGAGCCAGUUUUCAGAAAUGGAAACAUUACUUGAGAGGUGGCCAAACACCAGGAAGAAGGACCUAUAACAGUACAAGUACAACAGAAAUGAAUCCCCAGGUACUUUUCCAAAGGGUCUGAUAGCAAUUUCUUUUGAUAACUACAUCCUGGAGAAAAGUGAUUAGCCAAACAUUUGGAAGACUUGUGGACACAGGGUCUAAAUUGAUGUCCAGAUGCCUAGAAUAUCAUCCCCUUCUGUUAGAGUGGCUGCAUGUGGUGGCCAGGUAAUUGAUGGAGUUCUGCUAAAGGUCCAGCUUACAGUGGACCCGUAGACCUAGUGGACUGAUCUAGUGAUAUUUUCUUAGCCUUCGAGUGAGUAAUUGGCAUUGACAUACUUGGCAGUGAAUGCUCAUUCCAGGUCCCUGACCUAUAGAGUUAGAUAACAAAAUGGAAAAAGCCAAACAGAAACCUGAAACUGCCCCAUCCCCUACCAAGAUUAUAAAACAAUUAUCCCAGAGCGGGAAUGGCAGAGAUAAGUGCCACUUCUAAGGAUCCAAGUGAUGUAAAGUGGUGGUUACCAACAUUUUUAAUUUACCAGCAUGACCCCUGCAGAAGUCACAAGGAUCCUGGAGAAUGGCAGCCUACUCUAUUUGCUGUCAACCAGUAGUUGUUUUGGGUACACUGCUGCAAACUCAUCUAAGAAGUAUCCCUGGCCGGGCACAGUGGCUCACGCCUGUAAUCCCAGCACUUUGGGAGGAUAAGGUGGGCGGAACACGAGGUCAGGAGUUCAGUCUGGCCAACAUAGUGAAACCCUGUCUCUACUAAAAAUACAAAAAAUUAGCUGGGUGUGGUGGUGUGCACCUGUAAUCCCAGCUACUUGGGAGGCUGAGGCAGGAGAAUCCCAUGAACCUGGGAGGUGGAGGUUGCAGUGAGCCGAGAUCAUGCCAUUGCACUCCAGCCCAGGUGACAGUGUGAGACUCUAUCUCAAAAAAAAAAAAAAAAAGUAUCCGUAAUAGCCUCUCUGCCAGAUAUGGUAGGUAGUUGUUGACUAGGUGGAUUUGUUCUUUUCUGUACCUAUCAGGGAUCAAAAACAUUUUGCAUUUGCAUGGAAUUAAAAUGCAGUUUUGCCGGAAGGUUAUGUUACUUCUCUUGCUCUCUGUCGUAAUCCAAAGAGAUCUGGACCACCUAGACAUCCUGUAGAAUAUUACAUUGUUCCUUUACAUCAGUGACAUGUUGAUCAGCCAGAUGAGAAGUGCAGAAGAUCCUGGAGACAGCUGCUCCAGAGAGUGGCAUAUAAACCCUACAGGAAUCCAGGAGCCUGCUACAAUCCUAACAUUUUUAGGGCUCCAGUGGUCAGGGGUGCUCUAGGGCAUCCCUUCCAAAAGCGAAUGAAUUAUUGCUGCUUGCACCUCCUGCCGUUAAGAAAGCAAGACGCUUGUUGGUUCUCGAGCUAGUUCUUGCCUCAGGUUCUGGAGGCAGCAUGUCCCACACCUGGGAGUAUUGCUCUGGUCCAGAGACUAGUGGAAUUGGGAGAUUUCCAAUUUUGGAAAGAGCCCAGAACUGGAAACGUCUGUACAGUAGAUCCGGGUUGUGAUGAAGUAAUGCUAUUGCCUGGGCCAUAUAGUCCAACAGGUGUUUUUUUGGUGUUAUUAAUGGUGCAGAAUGAUGCAAUGUAGAGAUUCUGUCAUGCCACCUGGAGCAGAGAAUUGUAUGCAUUUGGGGGGCGGGCGGGUGUAGAUCUGUCUUCUGGUAUGCCACUUGUCUCUGACAGAGAUGGAACGCCUGACCGUAAGCCACCAGGUGACCAUGCAACCAGAACUGCCUGUUAAUGUUAAACUAGCAAAAGUCAUAACAUCAGUUGGGGCCAGCAACGGUCCCUCAUAAUAUGGAAGUAGUAUAUUCAAGGUUGAGCAUGAGAAUGUACAGAGGUUACCAAAUGAGCUGCAGAGCACAGAUGCACAUGACUUCCAGAACUGUUGGAUCAGCCACAAUGUCAUUUCACACCUGUGACAGUGUGAGGGGGCCCUUAUAGCCAGUUGACAGGAGUAAAAAUCGUGAGCAUGGUGUAUAAAUGGGUUGGCUCAGUAUGAGUUCAAAAUGAAAAUAGCAGCUACAUUACAGCCUUCUCAGGGGUGACCUUGAAAAAUGGUGAUAAGGGCAUAUCCUCUCAAUAGGCAGAAUUUCAGGCAGAGCUCCUGGUCGUCCACUUUUUUGUGGAAGAAGUAGCCCAAGGUGAGAAUAUACAUGGAGCCAUGGGCAAUGCUAGAGGGCCUGGGUAACUGGUUAAGGGCCUGGAAGGAAAACAAUCGGAAGUUGGAGAUAAGGAGGUGUGUGGUAGAUUUAUGUGGUCAGAUAAAUUGGAAUAGCACGAAGUACAAUGUUCUUUGUAUACAAUGUUAAUGCCCACCAGAGAGCAUCCAUGAAAGAAGCAUUAUACAACCAAGUAGACAGUUGACUCAGCCAGUUGAUAUUGGACAGCAUCUUUUAUUGGCUACUGUACUACUGGCAUGAUGGGCACAUGGACAAGGUAGCCAAGGUGAUGGACGCUGUUCAUGGGCCUGACAGCAACCCAUGCUCUCUACCCAGCUUUGGUUAAUAUCUAGCUGCCCCUGAAUAUCUAACCUGCCAGCAAAAGAGAUCUACCCGGCUUUGGUUAAUAUCUAGCUGCCCCUAAAUAUCUAACCUGCCAGCAAAAGAGACCAGUGCUAUACUCCCAUUGUGGGUCACUUCAUCAAGGAGCACAAACAUCCAGGUUUACAGAGGUCUUUAGACAUAGUCCCCAUUUUAUAAGGAGAGUUUACUGUAUUGGAACUCUCCCAUCCUGGAAGGGCUGGUGGUUCACUUUUCACAAGAAUAGUCUCAUAUUCCAGAUACGAGGCUUGUCUUUUCCUACUCACAAGUGUCAGCCAGAAAGGCUUAAGGAGUGUUUGUUUCACUGACAUAAGCACACAACAUUUCAAACGAGAUUCACUUUAUAGCCAAGGAAGUGUAGUGUCCAUGGGCCCUCCUGCCUGGCAGAGCGCUGAGACAGCAUGCUAAAGGCACAGCCUCCCAAAGGCAUGAGCCACUGAGCCCGGCACUGAAGACUUCCUUGAAACCGUUCUUUGCAAUCUUUCUGUUAUUGACCAGCUGGACAGUGCGUAACUGCAUGGGAAUGCUUGCAGAUCAGUAAAUUCAGACACCUUCCUUUCCACAUAAGAUGGACCACCAGCUGUACCCUCCCAAGUUUUGCCAGCUGGAAAUCUUCAAAAAUCCAACCCUAAACUAGGUUGUAGUGUAGCAACCAUCUUUUUGUUUGUUUUUUGAGACGGAGUCUCACUCGGUCUUCCAGGCUGGAGUGCAGUGGCGCGAUCUCAGCUCACUGCAACCUCUGCCUCCCGGGUUCAAGCGAUUCCCCUGCCUCCGCCUCCCGAGUAGCUGGGACUACAGGCACACGCCACCAUGCCCGGCUAAUUUUGUGUCUUUUAGUAGAGAUGGGAUUUCACCACGGUGGUCAGGAUAGUCUCAAUCUCCUGACCUCAUGAUCCGCCUGCCUUAGCCUCCCAAAGUGCUGGGAUUUCAGGUGUGAGUCACUAGUGUAGCAACUAUUUAUGGUUCAUGCCACCAUACCGUAUGGAUCCGUUGGUAGAACAAACCUGUAUUUUUUCGUCUUCUGUCAACUGGUCCUAGGGAGCGUCCCGUGAAACCACAGAUGUAGACUGAGGGGUGUGAAGUAGAAGAGGCGGCAGCAUGUGUUUGGUCACUCACUUGGGUCACAUACUUAUGCCUUCUGAAUCUGUUCAGGCAUAGUUUUGUGUAUAUUAUUUCCAGUUUCAGUGGAAUGCUGUUUAUGUCCAGUUUAAUGAUUUGUGUAUAGGCUGUCCUCCUAUGGUAUGCCUCAUGCUUCUGUGGGCUGUAUUGGGAUCAGAGUCUUGGGGGUCUGCAAGCAAGGUGGUAUUGUUGGGUUUUGAGAAUCAGCAUCUCUCUGUGAGGCACUGUAUUUGUUCUCACACUGCUAUAAAGAAAUGCCUGAGGCCAGGUGUGGUGGCUGAGGCCUGUAAUCCCAGCACUUUGGGAGGCCAAAGCCGGUGGAUCACCUGAGGUCAGGAGUUCGAGACCAGCCUGACCAAUAUGGUGAAACUCUGUCUCUACUAAAAGUACAAAAAUUAGUCGGGCCUGGUGGCGUGCACCUGUAGUCUCAGCUACUCAGGAGGCUGAGACAGGAUAAUUGCUUGAACCCGGGAGGCGGAGGUUGCAGUGAGCCAAGAUUGUGCCAUUUAAGCCUGGGUGACAGAGCAAGUCUCCAUCUAAAAAAAAAAAAUGCCUGAGACUGGAUAAUUUAUAAAGAAAAGAGGUAUAUUUGGCUCACGGUUCUGCAGGCUGUACAGUAAGCAUAGUGGCUUUUCCUUUGGGGAGGCCUCAGGAAGCUUCCAAUCAUGGCAGAAGACAAAGGGGGAGCAAGGCACUUCACAUGGCUGUAUUAGGAGGCAGAGAGAGGAUGGAGGUGCCACACACUUGAACAACCAGAUCUCGUGAGAACUCAUUCACUGUCUGAGGACAGCACCCAGGUGUUAAACCAUUCACGAGGAACUGUCCCCAUGAUCCAGUAACCUCCCACCAGGUCCCACCUCCAACAUUAGGGAUUAGAAUUCAGCAUGAGAUUGGGCAGACACACAGAUCCAAACCAUAUCAGGCAUCCAUCCCAGGUGCAGUCAUUAAAAGUUUUCUAUUCAGGCUUUUGAGGUGAUUGUGGUGGGGCCCCUUCAAGGUGGGGGCUGGACACCAGAGGACCCAACCACAUGAUUGGAGGAUUAGGAUUUUCAGCCCCACCCUCAAACCUCUGGAGAGGGGAGGGGGUUGGAGUUUAAGUUCAAUCAUGUGAUCAAUAAUCCAAUCCAUCAUGACUAUGUAAUGAGGCCUUGAUAAAAACUCUUAGCCAAUGAGGCUUACAGAGGUUCUGGGUUGUGCUGUGUUGCGGGAAGUCAGGGACCCCAAACCGAGGGACCGGCUGGAGCCGCGGCAGAGGGACAUAAAUUGUGAAGAUUUCAUGGACGUUUAUCACUUCCUAGUAAUACUCUUAUAAUUUCUUAUGCCUGUCUAAUCUCAAUCCUGUUAUCUUCGUAAGCUGAGGAUGUAUGUCACCUCAGGUCCACUGUGAUGAUUGCAUUAACUGUACAAAUCGAUUGUAAAACGUGCAUUUGACGAGGCCAGGAGAUCAAGACCAUCCUGGCUAACACAGUGAAAACCCGUCUCUACUAAAAAUACAAAAAAUCAGCCGGGUGUGGUGGCAGGCACCUGUAGUCCCAGCUACUCGGGAGGCUGAGGAAGGAGAAUGGCAUGAACCUGGGAGAUGGAGCUUGCAGUGAGCUGAGAUGGCGCCACUGCACUCCAGCCUGGGCGACAGAGUGAGACUCCAUCUCAAAAAACAAACAAACCAAAAAAAAAAAAAAACGUGUGUUUGAACAAUAAUGAAAUCAGUGCACCUUGAAAAUGAACAGAACAGCGAUUUUAGGGAACAAGGGAAGACAACCAUAAGGUCUGACUGCCUGUGGGUUCGGGCAAAAAGAGCCAUAUUUUUCUUCUUGCAGAGAGCCUAUAAACGGACGUGCAAGUAGGAGAGAUAUCGCUAAAUUCUUUUCCUAACAAGGAAUAUUAAGACCCUAGGAAAAUAAUUGCAUUCCUUGGGGGAGGUCUAUAAAUGCUUGCUCUGGGAGUGUCUGUCUUACGCAGUUGAGAUAAAGACUGAAAUACGCCCUGGUCUCCUGCAGUACCCUCAGGAUUGUUAGGGUGGGGGAAAAAACCACUCCCUGGUAAAUCUGAGGUCAGACUGGUUCUCUGCUCUUGAACCCUGUUUUCUGUUGUUUAAGAUGUUUAUCAAGACAAUACAUGCACAGCUGAACAUAGACCCUUACCAGGAGUUUUUGAUUUUGCCCUUUGCCUUGUGAUCUUUAUUGGCCUCAGAAGCACGUAAUCUUUGUUCUCCCUUUUGCCCUUUGAAGCAUGUGAUCUUUGUGACCUACUCCCUGUUCGUACACCCCCUCCCCUUUUGAAGUCCUUAAUAAAAACCUGCUGGUUGUGCGGCUCAGGUGGGCAUCACGGUCCUACCACUAUGUGAUGUCACCCCUGGCAGCCCAGCUCUAAACUUCCUCUUUGUACUCUAUUUCUCAGACUGGCCGACACUUAGGGAAAAUAGAAAGAACCUACGUUGAAAUAUUGGGGAUGGGUUCCCCCGAUAGUGCUGGGAGGGCAGCACGCCUGCAGUGGACACAGAAGCUCUGAGCCCCAUACCUGUCCUGCUCACCUCUUCCAUUUGGCUGUUCCUUUGUUGUACCCUGUAUAAUAAACUGGUAAUCCCAAGAAUAGUACUUUGCAUCAUUCUAGUAAAUUAUUAAACCUACAGGGGUGGGGCUGAAAACCCCACAAACUUAUAAAUUGGCUGGGCAGAAUUGCGGGUAGCCUGGAAACACCACUUGUGGCUGACGUCUGACGUGGAGACUGAGUCCUUAGCUUUUAGGGUCUGUGCUGACUCCAGGUAGUACCAGAAUUGAAGGACUUUAGGCCAGGCACUGUGGUUCACGCCUGUAAUCCCAGCACUUUGGGAGGCCAAGAUAGGAUCACUUGAGCCCAGGAAUUCGAGACCAGCCUGGGCAACAGGGAGACCCCCCAUCUCUACAAAAAUAAAUUAAUUAAAAAUGGAAGGACUUUGUCCUUAACUUGUGGGAACUGUGUCCAUUCUGACUCUAGGUAGUGUCAGAAUGGAACUGUAGGACAGGCAGCUCGUGUUAGAAAAGGAGACAAGCCUCCAGCAGGUCAGGGAGGCGGCAGCAGGCAGCAUGAACGGUAGCCCAGGCUCCCAUGCAGUUCUCCAGCUCUGCUGUCCCCCUGCAUCUAUCCAUUCCUAUUCUGCAUAUGAAUUUGCUUUUCCCGCCCAACACUCAUUUGCAGACUUCCCAAAUUCCUAAUUCAUCAUCGCUUCUAACCAGAAAACUCUUCUGAGAGCAAGUGUGGCUCUAAGCAUGUGGUUGUACGAUGCCCUCAUCUUACCCCAAACUCCUAUCAGUCAGAAGUAGCUUGCUUAGUGGAUGGUGGAAAGGCCUCCCGAAGGCUCAGUUAUGAUGCCAGAUUGGAGACAAUGCCCUGUCAAUAUGGAUGUUAUAAUACAGGAUGUGGUAUAGGCUUUAACUGAACAAUACCUAGUGCUACUUCUCCCACAGCCAGCAUAUGCUGGCUUGGAAACCUAAGGGCUGCAGAUAGGAAUGGCCCCUCUUACUGUUAUGCCAAGUAACCCCAGAAGGAAUUUUUGCUUCUCAUCUUGUAACUCUGAACUCCACUGUCCCAAGGGAGGACUGCUUCUACCAGGUACGACAAUGGUGGUAUUUUGAACUUUGAACUAGCAGUUGAGACUGCUGCCUGAGCCAACACCCAGGGAUGGAGUUACUGCACUAACUGGUGCUAUUGAUCCCAAUUUUUGAGGGAAACUGGGUGGCUCAUACACAAUGAAAACAGGAACAUCCUUAUCUGCAAUCUAGUGUCUUCACUGGCACCUUUUGGUACCGAGGACUUUCGGCUCAGUGCAGCCUCCGCCUCCUGGGUUCAAGUGAUCCUCCUGCCUCAGCCUCCCGAGUAGCUGGGAUUACAGGGGCCUGCCACCACACCCGGCUAAUUUUUGUAUUUUUAGUAGAGACCGGGUUUUGCCAUGUUGGUUAGGCUGGUCUCAAACUCCUGACCUUGUGAUCUGGCCACCUCGACCUCCCAAAGUGCUGGGAUUACAGGUGUGAGCCACCACACCCGGCUGACAGCUUCUUGGCUUCAAGCUAGAACAGGCUCCUCACAUUCAUGUCCCAUUGUCUUUGAUGAAACGAGGGCAGUUAACUGUAGAAUAGCCCAUGUUCAUCUUUUUCCUCAUGGUUUCAUUUAUUUUUCCUUCAAUAAACUAUAAGUUAGGGCUGGACACAGUGUCUUGAGCCUGUAUUCCCAGCACUUUGGGAGGCCAAGGCAGGAGGAUCACUUGAAGCUAGGGGUUCAAGACCAGUGUGGGCAACAGAGUGAAACUCCAUCUCUACUUAAAAAAAAAAAAAAACAAAAAACAACUAGCUCAAUGUGGCAGUGCGUGCCUGUACUCCCAGCUACUCGGGAGGCAGAGACAGUAGGAUUGCUUGAGCCAGGAGCUUGAAACCAGGCCGGGAAACAAAGUGAAACCUUGUCUCUAAAAGAAAUACGAAAAUUAGUGCCAGGCGUGGUGGUGCGCACCUGUAGUCCCAACUACUCGGGAGGCUAAGCAGGCGGAUCAUUUGGGCUUGGUAGGUCAAGGCUGCAGUGAGUUGUGAUUGUGCCACUGUACUCCAGCCUGGGUGACAGAGCGAGACCUUGUCUCUAAAAAUAAAAAAAUUAUACCCAUCUAGUACAUUUUUGGAUAAAGGGUCCUUGGCUAGGUAUUACUGUCUAGUCUAAGCGAGUAUGAGUGAAACAUAAAAAAGCACAGCCAGCCGGGCGUGGUGGCUCACACCUGUAAUCCCAACACUUUGGGAGGCCGAGGAGGAUGGAUCAUUUGAGGUCAGGAAUUCAAACCAGCCUGGCCAACAUGGUGAAACUCUGUCUCUACUAAAAAUACAAAAAUUAGCUGGGCCUGGUGGUGGGCGCCUGUAAUCCCAGCUACUCAGGAGGCUGAGGCAGGAGAGUUGCUUGAGCCCAGGAGGCGGCGGUUGCAGUGAGCCGAGAUUGCACCAUUGCACUCCAGCCUGGGUGACAGAGGGAGACUCCCAUCUCAAAAACAAAAAGCAUGGCCAUGAGAGGUGGAUACAUAGUGGCAGCAUCUUUAAAAAAAUAAGAAACCAAGUAAGAGUAAACAACAGUCAAGUGGCUAUUCAAGAAUGCUCCGGGUUCCACUGAAAAUUUUUGACUUACGAGUUUAACAUAAACUCUCUGCUCAAUUUUUUAGUCAGUGAGAAAGGCAAACUGAUAAAAUGGAUAAAAUGGAAAAAAAAAACAACACAAGGGCUAUUCACAAACAAAACAGUGAUUAA
RNAcentral lists this long non-coding RNA (12944 nucleotides) under Homo sapiens (human). Its description in RNAcentral is "non-protein coding lnc-C21orf58-1:5". The record is from RNAcentral. Lineage: Eukaryota; Metazoa; Chordata; Mammalia; Primates; Hominidae.